AGAGCAUGGCAAAGUAAAAGGCUUGGGGAGUGCCAAGUUAGAUCUAUUUUUAACUGCCAUUAAAUCCAAAACAGAAUUUGGACUAGAAAUUCUGAAAUAUUUCAUAGUUCCAUAGCCAUCAAGUUAUUUAAGCAAAGCAGUACUGCCAUUUAUAAAUUAACAAUUAUUAUAUCACAUGUUGAUGUGAGGUGAUAUUUAUAAGUCUCCUAUCUCUAGAGCAGAGGUUACAAGCUGAAAUACUCACGGGGUGAGCGGACAACUGGGGAGAAUUAGAAGAAACUGGACUGCCGUAGCCCCAUCUAAUGGGAGUAACUAACCUACACGGCUACAAUCCUUUGUUGACUUGUGAAAUGAUGCACCCAUGCAGGCAAAUCUUCUGGUAUAUCAGGAAAAGCCAGAGAUUUCAGAUUUUAUAUGUAUUAUCUCUCAAUUUUUAAAGUUCUAUCAACUAAUUUAAUUAUUAAGAAAACAUUGCAGGCCAACCCAAACACUUCUGCAAGCUAGAUAAUGGCCUUCAGCUGCUAUUUAGUAAUCUCUUCUCCAGAGUAUAUAAUAUCAAAUCAGACUUAAGAUUAUUAAUGUAUUUGACAUAAUUAUUUAAGAACAGUGAGACUGUAUAAUCUUUCCAUUCUGUUCAUAUAACAACUUCUUAAAAAUUACUUUGCCUUUGCUGGGGUAAUAAAUGCUUCUAGUCUGUCAUUUUUUUUUCCAUGCUGGCCUUCAUAAGUAACAUUAAGUUCUAAGGUAACAUAGUUUGUUAAGAAGUCUGUAAAAGAAACUGUUCAGCCAAAUUGGGUAAUGCCUACCCAGGUUUUUUAAAUUGGGGUUUAAGUUGUUAAAACACAGACAAUUUGAUUUGUUGCACCAUGUUGUUAGUGUGGCUUAAUCUUGACAACCAAGUAAAUUAGCAUAAAUGUAAAUGUGAUGAAUGAUACAAUAUCUGGCUUACAUGAGGGUGUUUCAGCACAUUUGAAAAGUCUCAUGUGCUAUAUGUAGCUUUUUAAGACCACAUAAUGUUGGCAUCAAUUUCUCCUUAAUCUGGGCUUAGAUCAUUAGUAUUAGUUCUAAUUAAGUCCUACUUGUGAGGAAAAGAGACUGAGGCUCAGACUAUCUUAAGAAAAAAGAUUUGGUUUUGUUUGUAAGUAAGGAUAACCUCCUUGUUUCAACAGGAGGUUAACCUCCUUCAACAAGGAGGUUAUCAGGAACUGCAGCAAUUCUAGGGGACUGUUGCUGUGUCCUGCUCUCUCUGUGCAUUUCUGUUUUAUGGGAAAUCUUUGCAUCUGGUUUGUUCUCUUUCACAUUCUUCCCUUCUUUUCUGUUUUCUUUUCUGAUUCUUUUUUGUUUUCUUACUCUGUAUCCUCUACUUAAAUGGAUUCUGCUUUCCAAGAGCUUUGGCCUCCAAUGCUCCCCUUCUAUGGCCUCAGUUCUGCCUCCUAGCUGCUUUUUAUGUGCCCUUGCAGCUUCUGCAUCAGCUUCUCAUUGCCUUACUUAUUAUUUACUCACUUUAGAUUGCUUAGAGAUGAUGUGAUUGGUCUAUGUGUGUCACACCCACGACGACCCAGUCUGCCCUGGCAGCAGGGCUGUGAUUGCGGUGUGGAUCUCAGAAAGGAUGUGAGCAUCAGAGGCCUUCUAUCGGAUAAUGCUUCCUUUUGUUUCCUUUUUCUUUGUCUCUAAAUCUAUUUUAGACAACUACUAGUCAUUUUCUUUGCAUAUAAUAUGCAAAAAUAUGUUUGGACAUGUAUAGCUUUAUAAUUGGUUCAUACAGAUCACUGAAGGAUUGAGAUACAAGUGUCAUGAACUCUUUGAAAUACUGAAAUAUCUUUUUUAAUGUUAAACUGGUGCUUUCCUUAUUUUCCAGUAACGAGUGCAUGUUAGUGGCAGAUCUCUACUUUUUAACUCCAAACCUAACAGUUUUAUAUUUUGAGGUCUCGCAUAAAUGUGGAGGGAGUAAGAUUUGGGUGAGGGUACAAAGCUUUUAAGUCCUACCUCCCUUGCUCCUCUGCUGCUCUUUUCUCCCCUUGAGCUCUGUAGAGCACAGUUUGAAAACUCCAGUAUAUUUCACAGUUGUGAUUCCAUGUGGUAAGCAUAAUAUGAAAUCAGGAAACACCACUGUUUAUAAGUUAGAAAAGACCUAAGAUCAAUUAAUGAUUAGCUUUUAGUAUCCUCUAGGUCUGAUAUCACUCAUGUAUCCCACAUUAUUAUGAUAUAUAUUUUAUGUAUAUAUCAGAAUAUAUACUAUGUAUCAUGUAUGCUACAUAUUUUAUAAUUAUACAUCCCUAUGUAUUUAGUGAAAGUACUAUUAUUCUACUACACUAGAGACUAAUUGCACUAGUUCUUUAACAUAAAAGAACUUAAUAGAACAGAAUAAAGUAGGUUCUUAUUUCUGGAGAUUGUGUUCAUUCUUUUAAAAUUUAACUGAACUGUUCGGAGACAAUUGUGAGUUCGUUGGCCACAUUAUUUAUUUGGCAUAUUUGCUUAGAUACAAAAUGAACUUAAAAAGAGCACCCAGGUUGAAAUACCCAUAAAGUUUUUGCCAGAAUCAAGAAUAGACUUAGCAAAACAGUAAAGAGGUUCCUAAAGUCAUAGUAUUCAAAAAAAUUUUGCUUUUCUUUAGUACUAUUUUACUUUUUUUUUUUUUUUUUUUUUUGAGACAGAGUCUCACUCUGUCGCCCAGGCUGGAGUGCAGUGGCGCGAUCUCGGCUCAUUGCAAGCUCCGCCUCCGGGGUUCACGCCAUUCUCCUGCCUCAGCCUCCCGAGUAGCUGGGACUACAAGCACCCGCCACCACGCCCAGCUAAUUUUUUGUAUUUUUAGUAGAGACGGGGUUUCACCGUGUUAGCCAGGAUGGUCUCGACCUCCUGACCUCGUGAUCUACCUGCCUUGGCCUCCCAAAGUGCUGGGAUUACAGGCAUGAGCCACCGCGCCCGGCCUGUACUAUUCUACUUUUUAAAUAGUUAUGAUACAGGAGAGGAGGCUUGAGAAUGUAUUUAACAUUACAAGGCAAACUUUGUAAACUCACUUUACAAAGUUAUGACUUCAUAAACUCACUUUACAAAGUUAUAACUUCAAGAAAAACACAUUUUAAAAUCCAAAUUCAGAUCUCAAAGCAAAGUUUAUCCACAAACACUUAAACAAAAAUAAUGUCUCGUUUGGUCCUAUAAUUUUUCUCAGUAUUCAUAGCAUCAGAUGAAUCUAUUUUAAUUUCAAAUUUCAUGACAUCAGAUAAAUGACUUAAUCUAUUAUUCAGUAUCUCUUAUAUAAAACUCAUUAUAAGCAAAUCUAAUUCUAUAAAAUAUGGCUUGAUUAGUUUCAGAGCUCCAUAUAACUAGUUCAUUGCCCUAUAUGUCUGGUUUUUGAGAUUGUCUUUGGAAGGAUCUAUAAGAAACCAGUAACAUUCUAGUCUUGUUUAUAGCCCCAAUUAUAGAUGUCAGCUGCUGUAGUUUGCGUAUAGAUGAGCUUUUCAAAUACUUAUGAGUAGUUGAAACUGCAGAAAUACAUAGAUGUUCUGAACACUUAAACAUAAUUAUCUUAGACCCUUUGCCUGUCACUCAAUUCAUGAUAGUAAUAUUUUCAUCAUACUAUUUCUGUCACUGUAGUGUUUGUUUUGAGCCAAGUUUUGUGUGUAUUAAGAGAAACGUAUUUUAAGCAUACUGUAUUAAAUAUUGGGAAAGCAGAUGAGUCACUGGAAAUACAGGACAAAUUAUAUUUUGACCUCUUCAAUUGAAAAUUUUAUAUUUCUGAUGGAAAGGGAGUUUUGUAAAGUUUGGGAAAUUUAUCUGUUGUAGCUUCUCUUUAUGUCAUGACAUAAAUCUAGUAUAUUAAAUCGCUAAACUUAUCUAAGGCCCCCAUCUCUGUCUAGUCUCUGUCUAGCAUGAUGCAGCAGCUGUGUGAGCCCCACAUGCUGUCUUUAUGUUGUUAUGUUUGGCCUUGUCCAUUCACGCCUUUCUGCAACAGUCUGAACAUUAGUUACUAUACUGACUUUUUUUUGUUAAGCCAAUGCAAGGUUUUGUAUGGUGCUUUUAUAUACCACUUUGGUUAAAGUACCUUCAAGCUUAGAUCCUUAAUAUUGUGUGGGGAGCAUACAGAAGACUAAUCCUGAGAGUUUCCCUGGGUGACUCUUUUGGCACAGUGAUGGAUUUGCUCUAAACAUUUUUUCAAGAGAUCUUUUAAAGUUUCUGAAUGUGAUUAAAUAUUAACAUGCACUUUUUAAAAUUUUUAUUCUUUUGUAUUUCAAUUUGUAUUUUAGUUUCAGGGGGGUGCAUGUGCAGGUUUGUUACCUGUGUAUAUUGUGUGAUGCUGAGAUUUAGGGUAUGAAUGAUCCUGUCACUCAGGAACUGAACAUAGCACCCAAUCGUUAGUUUUUCAACCCUUUCCACCUGCCUCCUUCCCCUCUCUGGUAGUACCCAGUGUCUGUUGUUGCCAUCUUUAUGUCCAUGUUUAGCUCUCACUUGUAAGUGAGAACAUGUGAUAUGUGGUUUUCUGUUCCUGCGUUUAUUUCCUUAGGAUAAUGGCCUCCACCUGCAUCUGUGUUGCUGCAAAGGAAAUGAUUUCAUUCUUUUUAUGGCAGUGUAGUAUAUGUACCACAUUUUCUUGAUCCAGUCCACUGUUGAUGGGCACCUAGGUUGAUUCCAUGUCUUUGCUAUUGUAAACACUGCUGCAGUGAACAUGCGAGUUCGUGUGUCUUUUUGGUAGAAAGAUUUGUUUUCUUUUGGAUAUAUACCCAGUAAUGGAAUUGCUGGGUUUAAUGGUAGUUCUGUUUUAAGUUCUUUGAGAAGUCUCCAAACUGCUUUCCACAGUGGCUGAACUAAUUUUACGUUCCCACCAGCAGUAUAUAAGCAUUCCCUUUUCUUCACAGCCUCACCAGCAUCUGUUGUUUUUUGACUGUUUAGUAAUAGCUGUUUUGACUAGUGUGAGAUGAUAUCUCAUUGUAGUUUUGAUUUGCAUUUCUCUGAUGAUUAGUGAUGGAGUAUUUUUUCAUACAUUUGUUGGCCACUUGUAUGUCUCAUUUCUAGAAGUAUCAGUUCAUGUCUUUUACCAUUUUUUAAUGGGGUUACUUGUUUUUUGCUUGUUGAUUUGAGUUUCUUGUGGAUUCUGGAUAUUACCUCUUUGUCAGAUGCAUAGUUUGUGCAUAUUUUCUCCCAUUCUGUAGGUUGACUGUUUACUCUGUUGAUAGUUUCUUUUGCUGUGCAAAACCUGUUUAGUUUAAUUAGGUCCCACUUCUCAAUUUCUGGUUUGUUGCAAUUGCUUUUGAAGAGUUGGUCAUAAUGCCUACUUUCUUGAGGGUUAUUAUCAGGAGGAGAUAUUGGAUUUUAUCGAAAGCUUUUUCCAGGUCUAUCGAGAUGAUCAUAUGUUUUUUGUUUUUAAUUGUUUACAUGGUGAAUCACAUUUAUUGAUUUUUUGUUUGUUUGUUUGUUUGUUUUUAAUUAUACUUUAAGUUUUAGGGUACAUGUGCACAAUGUGCAGGUUAGUUACAUAUGUAUACAUGUGCCAUGCUGGUGUGCUGCACCUAUUAACUCGUCAUUUAACAUUAGGUAUCCUAAUACCUAAUGUUAGGAGAUAACAUAUCUCCUAAUGCUAUCCUUCCACCCUCCCCCCACCCCACAACAGUCCCCAGAGUGUGAUGUUCCCCUUCCUGUGUCCAUGUGUUCUCAUUGUUCAAUUCCCAUCUAUGAGUGAGAACAUGCGGUGUUUGGUUUUUUGUCCUUGCAAUAGUUUACUGAGAAUGAUGAUUUCCAAUUUCAUCCAUGUCCCUACAAAGGACAUGAACUCAUCAUUUUUUAUGGCUGCAUAGUAUACCAUGGUGUAUAUGUGCCACAUUUUCUUAAUCCAGUCUAUCAUUGUUGGACAUUUGGGUUGGUUCCAAGUCUUUGCUAUUGUGAAUAGUGCUGCAGUAAACAUACGUGUGCAUGUGUCUUUAUAGCAGCAUGAUUUAUAGUCCUUUGGGUAUAUACCCAGUAAUGGGAUGGCUGGGUCAAAAGGUAUUUCUAGUUCUAGAUCCCUGAGGAAUCGCCACACUGACUUCCACAAUGGUUGAACUAGUUUACAGUCCCACCAACAGUGGAAAAGUGUUCCUAUUUCUCCACAUCCUCUCCAGCACCUGUUGUUUCCUGACUUUUUAAUGAUUGCCAUUCUAACUGGUGUGAGAUGGUAUCUCAUUGUGGUUUUGAUUUGCAUUUCUCUGAUGGCCAGUGAUGAUGAGCAUUUUUUCAUGUGUCUUUUGGCUGCAUAAAUGUCUUCUUUUGAGAAGUGACUGUUCAUAUCCUUUGCCCACUUUUUGAUGGGGUUAUUUGCUUCUUUCUUGUAAAUUUGUUUGAGUUAAUUGUAGAUUCUGGAUAUUAGCCCUUUGCCAGAUGAGUAGGUUGUGAAAAUUUUCUCCCAUUUUGUAGGUUGCCUGUUCACUCUGAUGGUAGUUUCUUUUGCUGUGCAGAAGCUCUUUAGUUUAAUUAGAUCCCAUUUGUCAAUUUUGGCUUUUGUUGCCAUUGCUUUUGGUGUUUUAGACAUGAAGUCUUUGCCCAUGCCUAUGUCCUGAAUGGUAAUGCCUAGGUUUUCUUCUAGGGUUUUUAUGGUUUUAGGUCUAACGUUUAAGUCUUUAAUCCAUCUUGAAUUAAUUUUUGUAUAAGGUGUAAGAAAGGGAUCCAGUUUCAGCUUUCUACAUGUGGCUAGCCAGUUUUCCCAGCACCAUUUAUUAAAUGGGGAAUCCUUUCCCCAUUGCUUGUUUAUCUCAGGUUUGUCAAAGAUCAGAUAGUUGUAGAUAUGCGGCGUUAUUUCUGAGGGCUCUGUUCUGUUCCAUUGAUCUAUAUCUCUGUUUUGGUACCAGUACCAUGCUGUUUUGGUUACUGUAGCCUUGUAGUAUAGUUAGAAGUCAGGUAGUGUGAUGCCUCCAGCUUUGUUCUUUUGGCUUAGGAUUGACUUGGCGAUGCGGGCUCUUUUUUGGUUCUAUAUGAACUUUAAAGUAGUUUUUUCCAAUUCUGUGAAGAAAGUCAUUGGUAGCUUGAUGGGGAUGGCAUUGAAUCUAUAAAUUACCUUGGGCGGUAUGGCUGUUUUCACGAUAUUGAUUCUUCCUACCCAUGAGCAUGGAAUGUUCUUCCAUUUCUUUGUAUCCUCUUUUAUUUCACUGAGCAGUGGUUUGUAGUUCUCCUUGAAGAGGUCCUUCACGUCGCUUGUAACUUGGAUUCCUAAGUAUUUUAUUGUCUUUGAAGCAAUUGUGAAUGGGAGUUCACUCAUGAUUUGGCUCUCUGUUAUUGGUGUAUAAGAAUGCUUGUGAUUUUUGUAGAUUGAUUUUGUGUCCUGAGACUUUGCUGAAGUUGCUUAUCAGCUUAAGGAGAUUUUGAGCUGAGACAGUGGGGUUUUCUAGAUAUACAAUCAUGUCAUCUGCAAACAGGGACAAUUUGACUUCCUCUUUUACUAAUUGAAUACCCUUUAUUUCCUUCUCCUGCCUAAUUGCCCUGGCCAGAACUUCCAACACUAUGUUGAAUAGGAGUGGUGAGAGAGGGCAUCCCUGUCUUGUGCCAGUUUUCAAAGGGAAUGCUUCCAGUUUUUGCCCAUUCAGUAUGAUAUUGGCUGUGGGUUUGUCAUAGAUAGCUCUUACUAUUUUGAGAUACAUCCCAUCAAUACCUAAUUUAUUGAGAGUUUUUAGCAUGAAGCAUUAUUGAAUUUUGUCAAAGGCCUUUUCUGCAUCUAUUGAGAUAAUCAUGUGGUUUUUGUCUUUGGUUCUGUUUAUAUGCUGGAUUACAUUUAUUGAUUUGCAUAUAUUGAACCAGCCUUGCAUCCCAGGGAUGAAGCCCACUUGAUCAUGGUGGAUAAGCUUUUUGAUGUGCUGCUGAAUUCGGUUUGCCAGUAUUUUAUUGAGGAUUUUUGCAUCAAUGUUCAUCAAGGAUAUUGAUCUAAAAUUCUCUUUUUUUGGUUGUGUCUCUGCCAGGCUUUGGUAUCAGGAUGAUGCUGGCCUCAUAAAAUGAGUUAGGGAGGAUUCCCUCUUUUUCUAUUGAUUGGAAUAGUUUCAGAAGGAAUGGUACCAGUUCCUCCUUGUACCUCUGGUAGAAUUCAGCUGUGAAUCCAUCUGGUCCUGGACUCUUUUUGGUUGGUAAGCUAUUGAUUAUUGCCACAAUUUCAGAUUCUGUUAUUGGUCUAUUCAGAGAUUCAACUUCUUCCUGGUUUAGUCUUGGGAGAGUGUAUGUGUCGAGGAAUGUAUCCAUUUCUUCUAGAUUUUCUAGUUUGUUUGCGUAGAGGUGUUCGUAGUAUUCUCUGAUGGUAGUUUGUAUUUCUGUGGGAUCGGUGGUGAUAUCCCCUUUAUCAUUUUUUAUUGCAUCUAUUUGAUUCUUCUCUCUUUUUUUCUUUAUUAGUCUUGCUAGCAGUCUAUCAAUUUUGUUGAUCCUUUCAAAAAACCAGCUCCUGGAUUCAUUAAUUUUUGAAGGGUUUUUUGUGUCUCUAUUUCCUUCAGUUCUGCUCUGAUUUUAGUUAUUUCUUGCCUUCUGCUGGCUUUUGAAUGUGUUUGCUCUUGCUUUUCUAGUUCUUUUAAUUGUGAUGUUAGGGUGUCAAUUUUGGAUCUUUCCUGCUUUCUCUUGUGGGCAUUUAGUGCCAUAAAUUUCCCUCUACACACUGCUUUGAAUGUGUCCCAGAGAUUCUGGUAUGUUGUGUCUUUGUUCUCAUUCGUUUCAAAGAACAUCUUUAUUUCUGCCUUCAUUUCGUUAUGUACCCAGUAGUCAUUCAGGAGCAGGUUGUUCAGUUUCCAUGUAGUUGAGUGGUUUUGAGUGAGUUUCUUAAUCCUGAGUUCUAGUUUGAUUGCACUGUGGUCUGAGAGACAGUUUGUUAUAAUUUCUGUUCUUUUACAUUUGCUUAGGAGAGCUUUACUUCCAGCUAUGUGGUCGAUUUUGGAAUAGGUGUGGUGUGGUGCUGAAAAAAAUGUAUAUUCUGUUGAUUUGGGGUGGAGAGUUCUGUAGAUGUCUAUUAGGUCCGCUUGGUGCAGAGCUGAGUUCAAUUCCUGGGUAUCCUUGUUAACUUUCUGUCUCUUUGAUCUGUCUAAUGUUGACAGUGGGGUGUUAAAGUCUCCCAUUAUUAUUGUGUGGGAGUCUAAGUCUCUUUGUAGGUCACUCAGGACUUGCUUUAUGAAUCUGGGUGCUCCUGUAUUGGGUGCAUAUAUAUUUAGGAUAGUUAGCUCUUCUUGUUGAAUUGAUGGCUUUACCAUUAUGUAAUGGCCUUCUUUGUCUCUUUUGAUCUUUGUUGGUUUAAAGUCUGUUUUAUCAGAGACUAGGAUUGCAACCCCUGCCUUUUUUUGUUUUCCAUUUGCUUGGUAGAUCUUCCUCCAUCCUUUUAUUUUGAGCCUGUGUGUGUCUCUGCAUGUGAGAUGGGUUUCCUGAAUACAGCACACUGAUGGGUCUUGACUCUUUAUCCAGUUUGCCAGUCUGUGUCUUUUAAUUGGAGCAUUUAGUCCAUUUACAUUUAAAGUUAAUAUUGUUAUGUGUGAAAAUGAUCCUGCCAUUAUGAUGUUAGCUGGUUAUUUGCUCAUUAGUUGAUGCAGCUUCUUCCUAGUCUCGGUGGUCUUUACAUUUUGGCAUGAACCACUUUGCACCUUAGGAGUAAAGCCUACUUAAUCAUUAACAUGCUUUUUAAAAACUACAUGUAUACACUAAUAAGUGUUUGGAGAAUGUAUGAGUAAUACCAGUACAUGAAACUAGAUUUUGAUAAACAGGUAUUAAAGUUUAAAUCUUAAGUCAAGCUUUGCGUUAGAUUUGUUACCGUUUAAAGGAAAUAAGUAUGGAGUGCAUUUUUACAGCAGAGCCUUAAUGUGGGGUUUUUUCCUCUCAAUAUUCUCUUGACUUCAAAGUAUAAUUAUCAUUAUUACAUUUCUCUUUAUACCAUGAGACCAUUAAAACGUAUAAAAAUUUUUCAGUUUUCUGCCUUCAUUACUUUCUGGAAUUAACAAAUGAUAAUGUGAAUUACUUUUACUCUUUCUUGAUUUUGGGGAUGCCUACUGGAAGUAGUAGCAUAAUCUGCAGAACUUUGGGAAGAGUAAAAAAUUUAGGCUUAAAAAAAAUUUAGGCUUUGUAAAGCCUGUAAUAAUACAGAAAAUAAAAUGUCCACUUUGUGUGGAAUUUAUGUAAGUAGUUACCUAUUAGAAUAAUGCAUUAAUAGAUCACAUCUAUUUAAUUGAAAUGUGACCUCGCAUGACUGCCUUGACUGUAUUUGAGAUGACCGACUUGAAAUACCCUUAGAAUUUAGUUCUUCCCUUUUUCCAUUUAAAUGACAAGCAAAAAUGGCUGGGCACAGUGGCUCAGCCUGUAAUCCCAGCAUCUGGGGAGACCGAGGUGGGCAGAUCACCUGAGGUCAGGAGUUUGAGACCAGCCUGACCAACAUGGGGAAACCUGUCUCUAGUAAAAAUACAAAAAAAUUAGCCAGGCGUGGUGGCGCAUGCCUGUAAUCCCAGCUACUUGGGAGGCUAAGACACGAGAAUUGCUUGAACCUAGGAGUUGGAGGUUGCAGUGAGCUGAGAUCAUGCUACUGCACUCCAGCCUGGGCAACAGAGCAAGACUGCAUCUCAAAAAAAAAACAAAACAAAA
This is a long non-coding RNA of Pan troglodytes (chimpanzee), 10551 nucleotides long. RefSeq lists it as uncharacterized. Lineage: Eukaryota; Metazoa; Chordata; Mammalia; Primates; Hominidae. The record is from RefSeq and is a predicted model, not a curated record. The transcript is spliced from 2 exons.